Non-coding RNA from Drosophila melanogaster (fruit fly), 369 nucleotides. NCBI's taxonomy places the organism in Eukaryota, Metazoa, Arthropoda, Insecta, Diptera, Drosophilidae. The record is from Ensembl.
CUCACAUGGGUCAAAACUACAUACGGAAUUGGGUUUUUAGUCGUAAGGCGAUGCCAGGUGGGGAUGCCAGCAGAGCACUUUCCUCCGGUUUCCCCAACAUUGUGGGGUAAAAUGAAGCGUUGAAAGUCAUUAAGGACGUGAAGAGGCGCCAGUAAAAGGAGCAUAAAACAUUUCAUCCCAAAAAAAACUCGACUCGAUAAAGAGCCCGCGUAUCUAGCAGUUAAGCGAAGGAAUCUCGGGUGUAACAUAAAUUUAAGUGCAGCAUAAAGCGGAUUUUAUGACUGCCCCAUCACCUUUUCUACCGAGGUGCUUGCACUGUCAAAAUAAAUGGAAUGCAGUUAAGAUUCUCGCAGCCAGUACGAAGACACU